GAGUCUUUGAACGCAAGUUGCGCCUGACGCCAUUCGGCCGAGGGCACGUCUGCCUGGGUGUCACG
Molecule: ribosomal RNA, 65 nt
Filed under: Fagus longipetiolata
Lineage: Eukaryota; Viridiplantae; Streptophyta; Magnoliopsida; Fagales; Fagaceae
Also listed under: 2 other names
Description: partial 5.8S ribosomal RNA
Source: RNAcentral